This 497-nucleotide ribosomal RNA is filed under the name uncultured bacterium. RNAcentral's name for it is "partial 16S ribosomal RNA". It matches the Rfam family "Bacterial small subunit ribosomal RNA", at positions 28 to 507 of the family's 1533-position model. The record is from RNAcentral.
GAUGAACGCUGGCGGCGUGCCUAAUACAUGCAAGUCGAGCGAACAGACGAGGAGCUUGCUCCUCUGACGUUAGCGGCGGACGGGUGAGUAACACGUUGAUAACCUACCUAUAAGACUGGGAUAACUUCGGGAAACCGGAGCUAAUACCGGAUAAUAUAUUGAACCGCAUGGUUCAAUAGUGAAAGACGGUUUUGCUGUCACUUAUAGAUGGAUCCGCGCCGCAUUAGCUAGUUGGUAAGGUAACGGCUUACCAAGGCAACGAUGCGUAGCCGACCUGAGAGGGUGAUCGGCCACACUGGAACUGAGACACGGUCCAGACUCCUACGGGAGGCAGAAGUAGGGAAUCUUCCGAAAUGGGCGAAAGCCUGACGGAGCAACGCCGCGUGAGUGAUGAAGGUCUUCGGAUCGUAAAACUCUGUUAUUAGGGAAGAACAAAUGUGUAAGUAACUAUGCACGUCUUGACGGUACCUAAUCAGAAAGCCACGGCUAACUACGUG